Molecule: ribosomal RNA, 435 nt
Filed under: uncultured bacterium
Lineage: Bacteria
Description: partial 16S ribosomal RNA
Rfam family: Bacterial small subunit ribosomal RNA
Source: RNAcentral
AGCGAACGCUGGCGGCAGGCUUAACACAUGCAAGUCGAACGGGCAUAGCAAUAUGUCAGUGGCAGACGGGUGAGUAACGCGUGGGAACGUACCUUUUGGUUCGGAACUACACAGGGAAACUUGUGCUAAUACCGGAUAAGCCCUUACGGGGAAAGAUUUAUCGCCGAAAGAUCGGCCCGCGUCUGAUUAGCUAGUUGGUAGGGUAAUGGCCUACCAAGGCGACGAUCAGUAGCUGGUCUGAGAGGAUGAUCAGCCACAUUGGGACUGAGACACGGCCCAAACUCCUACGGGAGGCAGCAGUGGGGAAUAUUGGACAAUGGGCGAAAGCCUGAUCCAGCCAUGCCGCGUGAGUGAUGAAGGCCCUAGGGUUGUAAAGCUCUUUUGUGCGGGAAGAUAAUGACGGUACCGCAAGAAUAAGCCCCGGCUAACUUCGUG